This 229-nucleotide ribosomal RNA is filed under the name uncultured bacterium. Its description in RNAcentral is "partial 16S ribosomal RNA". It matches the Rfam family "Bacterial small subunit ribosomal RNA", at positions 104 to 334 of the family's 1533-position model. The record is from RNAcentral.
CGGGGUGAGUAAUGCUUGGGAAUCUGGCUUAUGGAGGGGGGUAACUACGGGAAACUGUAGCUAAUACCGCGUAGUAUCGAGAGAUUAAAGUGUGGGACCUUCGGGCCACAUGCCAUAGGAUGAGCCCAAGUGGGAUUAGGUAGUUGGUGAGGUAAAGGCUCACCAAGCCGACGAUCUCUAGCUGGUCUGAGAGGAUGACCAGCCACACUGGGACUGAGACACGGCCCAG